RNAcentral lists this unclassified non-coding RNA (304 nucleotides) under Hevea brasiliensis (rubber tree). Lineage: Eukaryota; Viridiplantae; Streptophyta; Magnoliopsida; Malpighiales; Euphorbiaceae. The record is from RNAcentral.
AGAGGUCUGCUGCAUAUGGAUCCUUCAGCCUCCCAGGAAGGCAGCAGCUGGGGCCUGCCCCAAGCUUCUCCUUUGGUAUGAAUCAACAAGGCUUGGCCAAUCCGGCAAUGGCUGGAUUGGGUCCCGGCCAACCCAAGAUGCCCGUUAUGCCUGUCCACCCAUAUUUAGCACAGCAACGUCCGAUGAAUGAAAUGGGGUUCCUGCUGCCCAAAGGAGAACCUAAGGUGGAGCCUAUGUCAGAACCAAGUUUGAACCUAUCCAACAAUCCAUCAAUAUAUCAGCAAAUCAUGAGUAGGCUGCCGCU